AAAUUGAAGAGUUUGAUCAUGGCUCAGAUUGAACGCUGGCGGCAGGCCUAACACAUGCAAGUCGAACGGUAGCACAGAGAGCUUGCUCUCGGGUGACGAGUGGCGGACGGGUGAGUAAUGUCUGGGAAACUGCCUGAUGGAGGGGGAUAACUACUGGAAACGGUGGCUAAUACCGCAUAAUGUCGCAAGACCAAAGAGGGGGACCUUCGGGCCUCUUGCCAUCAGAUGUGCCCAGAUGGGAUUAGCUAGUUGGU
RNAcentral lists this ribosomal RNA (254 nucleotides) under Salmonella enterica. RNAcentral describes it as "partial 16S ribosomal RNA". It matches the Rfam family "Bacterial small subunit ribosomal RNA", at positions 1 to 253 of the family's 1533-position model. The record is from RNAcentral. RNAcentral also lists the same sequence under 1 other name. Lineage: Bacteria; Pseudomonadati; Pseudomonadota; Gammaproteobacteria; Enterobacterales; Enterobacteriaceae.